CUGGCAAAUUGCGCAGCCUAGUCUUAUUCCUCCCUCUCUCUCUCAUUUUUUCCUUGGUACUGUGUUCCUAAGUUCUGAAAAUUCGAGGCUUCCUUCUACAUUUUCUCUGCUCCUGAGUGAGAUGCUGUGGUGCGGCGCUCUCUUGCGGUGAAGCAAAUUCCUUGCUGCAGUGUGCGGGUGUCGGUGUUGCCGUUGCUGAUCCCGUCGACGGCGUCAGUUUGUGCCGCUGCUGGGUGCGAGUGCUGUGCAACAAGAAAUUCCAGUUUUUUCUGUACUAGAGUGGGAGGUGCGGCAUCACGUGGUCGAGGACCUGUUGAGUUGGGGAUGGUCCAAGUCGGCGAGCUGCGGUCAAACUCUCCUUUAAUUGAUCUCUUUUCCUCUUCCGCACUGUGUCCGACAGCGUGCAGCAAUCUGUCCUGCUCCUGUGAAGUAGCAGCGGUGAUCAACAUUCCCUUAAUUUCUGUGGCAGUCUCUUCUCAACGAUUACUUGCGCAAAACUUAUGGUUGAUGUUGAAUGAAGUCGCUUCCAUAUUUUGGAAAUAUAGAGUGGCAUCAGUGUUGUUAGUGGUAACAUAGAACCUUAAAGGUGGCUGGAAAAAGGAUAUUCAAGACAUAGAGGUUUUCAAAUCCAGAAGGAACAACUGUUGGAGUGGAGCUUCGAAGGGAGGAGCUGCUUGGUCGGAGUAUAGGGAACAAACACCAACUUCAAGUAGGAUCGUUACGUGGAAAUAUUCCUUCAAGUACAAGGAAUAUUUCCACGUAAGAUAAUUGAUUCUAUUAAACAACAAUUGACUAGGGGAUGCUAGGGUUGGGAUGAAGUUAGGUUAGGGUUGAAGGAAUCCAAAUUGGAUGAAAUUAUUAAACAAGGAUGAUUAUAUAUUGCAAAUGAAUUUUGUGGAUAAAUUUUAUUAUGGAUGAAAUAUUAUUCAAGGAUGAGUUUUCAUUCUUGGAUGAAAUUUUAUUAA
This is a long non-coding RNA of Physcomitrium patens, 965 nucleotides long. RefSeq lists it as uncharacterized. Lineage: Eukaryota; Viridiplantae; Streptophyta; Bryopsida; Funariales; Funariaceae. The record is from RefSeq and is a predicted model, not a curated record.